This 776-nucleotide ribosomal RNA is filed under the name uncultured Neocallimastigales. RNAcentral's name for it is "partial large subunit ribosomal RNA". It matches the Rfam family "Eukaryotic large subunit ribosomal RNA", at positions 22 to 637 of the family's 3401-position model. Lineage: Eukaryota; Fungi; Neocallimastigomycota; Neocallimastigomycetes; Neocallimastigales. The record is from RNAcentral.
GUACACGCUGUGACUAGCAUAUCAAUAAGCGGAGGAAAAGAAACUAACAAGGAUUCCCCUAGUAACGGCGAGUGAAGCGGGAAGAGCUCAAAUUUGAAAUCUUAAAGGGUUUCCCUUUACGAAUUGUAGUUUAAAGAAGUGUUUUCUGUUGAGGUUUUGGUAAAAGUUCUUUGGAAUAGGACAUCAUAGAGGGUGAGAAUCCCGUAUUUGAUCCUUUACUUUCAACUUUGUGAUACACUUUCAAAGAGUCGGAUUGUUUGGGAAUGCAGUCCAAAAUGGGUGGUAAAUUUCAUCUAAAGCUAAAUAUUGGCGAGAGACCGAUAGCGAACAAGUACCGUGAGGGAAAGAUGAAAAGAACUUUGAAAAGAGAGUUAAACAGUACGUGAAAUUGUCAAAAGGGAAGCGUUUGACACCAGUGUUGUUUUUCUGAAAAUCAAUUAAAGAACUGUUUAUGCUAAGUUGUUUAGACUUUAUCAGCUAACUGUUUAGUUUUGAGCUUUUCUUUAAUGCACUUUUCAGUUAACAAGUCAACAAUCAAUUUCUUUUGCUGUAAAAAAGCUUGAGGAAGGUGGCUUGAGAUUCGUCUUAAGUGUUUAUAGCCUCUUGCCUAUGCAGUCGGAGAGAUUGAGGUCUGCAGCGUAGAUCCUUCGGGGCUAAAUGCAUUUGUGCUAAGUUAUAACAUUUUAUAGACAACUUGUUGACUAUGAUUUGUCUUGUAGCUUACUCGCUUAUGUUAUUUUACCUACGCUUAGGAUGUUGACAGCAGUAUAGACUGU